CCUACGGGUGGCAGCAGUGGGGAAUAUUGCGCAAUGGGGGAAACCCUGACGCAGCAACGCCGCGUGAGUGAGGAAGUAUCUCGGUAUGUAAGCUCUAUCAUCCGGGGAGAAAGAGGACGGUACCCGACUAAGACGCCCCGGCCAACUCCGUUCCAGCCGCCGCGGUCAUACGUAGGGGGCGAGCGUUAUCCGGAUUUACUGGGGGUAAAGGGAGCGUAGACGGCGUCGCAAGGCUGAAGUGAAAGCCCGUGGCUCAACCGCGGAACCGCUUUGGAAACUGCGAGGCUGGAGUGCUGGAGAGGUAAGCGGAAUUCGUGGUGUAGCGGUGAAAUGCGUAGAUAUCAGGAGGAACACCGGUGGCGAAGGCGGCUUACUGGACAGUGACUGACGUUGAGGCUCGAAAGCGUGGGGAGCGAACAGGAUUAGAUACCCCAGUAGUC
RNAcentral lists this ribosomal RNA (440 nucleotides) under uncultured bacterium. Its description in RNAcentral is "partial 16S ribosomal RNA". It matches the Rfam family "Bacterial small subunit ribosomal RNA", at positions 338 to 795 of the family's 1533-position model. The record is from RNAcentral.